CUAAACUUGUAUUCCUGCAGAAACAGGCACAAUAAAGGCUGCUGAACUGAGAGCAAAUUUUUAUAUAUUUCAUGACAAAUAUGUUUAUUAUUAUAUACAUUUAUGCAGUUCUCUUGUCUUUAGUCACAGAAGCUGUUCUGGGAGUGACACUGGUGCAAAAAGAUCUCUUCUGGACAAAAGGUGAAGGCAAAACUGUGUAUAUCAGCUGCAAAGUGACCGAAUUAAGCAGGGACUAUGUCCACUGGUACCAAAAGAAAGAAGGUGAAGCUCUCACAAGGAUCCUGUACGUCAAAAGAGGAAGCUCACCGGUUCAUGAUCCUAACCAUCCUGAAGCAAAAGACUUCAGUGUGAGGAUUCAGUCAGAUAAUUACGAUCUGAAGAUAGAAAGCCUGAAGAAAAGUCACUCAGCAGUGUAUUACUGUGCCAGCUGGGAGAGCAGUGCACAGUGAAUGAAUUAAUUACAGUGUAAACAAAAAACCUGAUUAUACACAACCACAACAGUAAAAGUGUGUGUGGAGUAGUAAAGUUUGUUAAGCUGACUCUUACAUUAGAUGUUAACCAGCUAGGCAAAAACAAACCUUUACCAUUUCAAUAAUAUCAGCAAACCAUUUUUGGUCUUUAUUUCUAUUUGUUACAUAAAUAGCAGUUUCUAUUUUAUUUUGUCUAGACGCCCAUGUGAUGGUCUGAUACAUAAACAUUUUAAACGA
Molecule: non-coding RNA, 707 nt
Organism: Tachysurus fulvidraco (yellow catfish)
Lineage: Eukaryota; Metazoa; Chordata; Actinopteri; Siluriformes; Bagridae
Source: the annotation of a RefSeq genome assembly